AAAAAAGUUGAUACACGAUCUCUCUGAGAAGAAGAAUUGCUACCUAGCUAUGCUAACAACACACUCCACAAACACGAACCCCAACAGAGAGAGAGCAACUGCACUUUAAAAAAUUGGUAAAAGAAAUAGGUUAGAGAGGAGGAGAGGAAGACGACCAAAGGGGAGGGAGAAAGAAGAAAAGGGUAUAGGGUUUGUUUUGGUCUGAGAUGCGGCAGACUAAUUUAACUUUUUAUAAAACCAAUUAAUAGGCUGACAGAAGUAGGCUUAUAGGGGUUAGGGGUACAGUGGAAAUUAAAGUAAAACUGGGAGGUGCAGGACUAGGUCAUGGAGGUGCUGAGAGGAACACUCUAAUACAAUUAUUGCACAGUUGGCAUCAAUGUAGAUAACUUUUGAUGAUGAAAUAACAAUGUUAGUUCUACUAUCAUCUCUUUCAGAAAGUUGGGAUGCAACUAUUACUGCACUUAGUAAUUCUAAAAGCAACAACAAGUUGAAUUUUGAUAACAUCUGUGACUUGAUCAUAAGCGAAAAUGUUCGUGGG
RNAcentral lists this long non-coding RNA (538 nucleotides) under Vigna radiata. Its description in RNAcentral is "long non-coding RNA (VRAD_LNC007746)". The record is from RNAcentral. Lineage: Eukaryota; Viridiplantae; Streptophyta; Magnoliopsida; Fabales; Fabaceae.